RNAcentral lists this ribosomal RNA (253 nucleotides) under uncultured bacterium. Its description in RNAcentral is "partial 16S ribosomal RNA". It matches the Rfam family "Bacterial small subunit ribosomal RNA", at positions 524 to 776 of the family's 1533-position model. The record is from RNAcentral.
UACAGAGGUCUCAAGCGUUGUUCGGAUUCAUUGGGCGUAAAGGGUGCGUAGGCGGGUCUUUAAGUCAGGGGUGAAAUCCUGGAGCUCAACUGAGGAAGUGCGCCCGAAACUGCAGAGCUUGAGUGCCGGAGAGGGUGGCGGAAUUCCCCAAGUAGAGGUGAAAUUCGUAGAUAUGGGGAGGAACACCGGUGGCGAAGGCGGCCACCUGGACGGUAACUGACGCUGAGACGCGAAAGCGUGGGGAGCAAACAGG